Molecule: small nucleolar RNA, 132 nt
Organism: Vulpes vulpes (red fox)
Lineage: Eukaryota; Metazoa; Chordata; Mammalia; Carnivora; Canidae
Gene: SNORA63
Rfam family: Small nucleolar RNA SNORA63
About the family: E3 belongs to the H/ACA class of snoRNAs and is involved in the processing of eukaryotic pre-rRNA and has regions of complementarity to 18S rRNA.
Source: Ensembl
AAGCAGGAUACAGACUACAGUAUAGCUGUUAAGUGCUGUACUGUAUCUCCUCCUGCUCAAAACAAAGUUGUUUCCUAACUAUACCAGUCUGCUAUACUACUGUAGCAGAUAGGGAUACUUGAUCUCAUGCAC